This is a long non-coding RNA of Helianthus annuus (common sunflower), 360 nucleotides long. RefSeq lists it as uncharacterized. The transcript has 3 exons. Lineage: Eukaryota; Viridiplantae; Streptophyta; Magnoliopsida; Asterales; Asteraceae. The record is from RefSeq and is a predicted model, not a curated record.
CAACAAGAGAGAAGAAGGGGAGAAUGCUCAAAAGAUGCAAUUUCAUCAAAUUGAAAAGGGAAUUCAGCCCAAAUCUAAUGCAUGUACAUGAAUUCUUGAUCAUCUAGCCCUAUAAAUCACUUGGGAUCAUGUGGAAAUGGACUCAAGCAAGAAAGGCAAACGGGUCAAAAGGAGGCAAGGGAACGGACGCAAAAAGGUUGUACGGGUCACGGAGGAUCAUCAAGGAAUAAAGAUCGAGGACCGAGUCACAUGAAGGAUUGUACGGGGUUGUCUAAGGAUGUAAUUUGUUAUACAUAAGUUAUGAUUUAUUCUAUAAUUGAGUCAGUUUGAUGUAUUCAAUAUAAAAGAGUUAUUUUAAAA